AUAUUGGUAAUCACUUGAAGACAUUGAGGAGAAGGUAUGUCAAAAUCAACCAACUUAGGAGUUUGAGUGGUGCACUUUGGGAUGAAGAUCAAUACAUUAUUUCUCUUGAUCAUGAGCACUACCGGAACCAUUUUGAGGGCGUUUGCCGACUUGCCACUGUUGUACAAGAUCAGUUGGAUGACCAUGUUUAUUAAUGCGAACUUCUAGUUGAUUGCUUGUGUAUCUUCCUCUAAUAUGGAUCUAUGUACUUUUAAUUAAGUAGACCUAUGUACUAUUAAUUAAGUGAUCUAUGUACUUUUUGGACCUAUGUACUUUUUAAUUAAGUGGGCAUAUGUGCCUUUUAAAUUUGGACUUAUUUGUAUGU
Long non-coding RNA from Panicum hallii, 364 nucleotides. RefSeq lists it as uncharacterized. The record is from RefSeq and is a predicted model, not a curated record. NCBI's taxonomy places the organism in Eukaryota, Viridiplantae, Streptophyta, Magnoliopsida, Poales, Poaceae. The transcript has 2 exons.